GACGAACGCUGGCGGCGUGCUUAACACAUGCAAGUCGAACGGAAAGGCCCUGCUUUUGUGGGGUGCUCGAGUGGCGAACGGGUGAGUAACACGUGAGUAACCUGCCCUUGACUUUGGGAUAACUUCAGGAAACUGGGGCUAAUACCGGAUAGGAGCUCCUGCUGCAUGGUGGGGGUUGGAAAGUUUCGGCGGGUGGGGAUGGACUCGCGGCUUAUCAGCUUGUUGGUGGGGUAGUGGCUUACCAAGGCUUUGACGGGUAGCCGGCCUGAGAGGGUGACCGGCCACAUUGGGACUGAGAUACGGCCCAGACUCCUACGGGAGGCAGCAGUGGGGAAUAUUGCACAAUGGGCGGAAGCCUGAUGCAGCAACGCCGCGUGCGGGAUGACGGCCUUCGGGUUGUAAACCGCUUUCGCCUGUGACGAAGCGUGAGUGACGGUAAUGGGUAAAGAAGCACCGGCCAACUACGUG
This 468-nucleotide ribosomal RNA is filed under the name uncultured bacterium. Its description in RNAcentral is "partial 16S ribosomal RNA". It matches the Rfam family "Bacterial small subunit ribosomal RNA", at positions 28 to 507 of the family's 1533-position model. The record is from RNAcentral.